GGCACCUUUCUUGGCUGAUCCCUUUCGCUUUAUGGCGUGCUUGUUUGGGUUAGGCAUCGGCUAAGGGUGCUCAGAGCGCGGAUUAACUCCAGUCUGCUAUCAGGUAAUUUCCAGCCUUAGAUAGAUUGGAGCUGCGAGGGGCUCGGAGAAAGCCACAAGCACUGUUUAUGUUACAGUUUUGAUUAUUACUUUCAAAUGUUUUUAUAUGGGUUGUAGUAAAGCCAUUGUAAUUUUUUGGAUUUCAAA
This is a long non-coding RNA of Gossypium arboreum, 246 nucleotides long. RefSeq lists it as uncharacterized. The transcript has 2 exons. NCBI's taxonomy places the organism in Eukaryota, Viridiplantae, Streptophyta, Magnoliopsida, Malvales, Malvaceae. The record is from RefSeq and is a predicted model, not a curated record.